This 254-nucleotide ribosomal RNA is filed under the name uncultured bacterium. RNAcentral's name for it is "partial 16S ribosomal RNA". It matches the Rfam family "Bacterial small subunit ribosomal RNA", at positions 524 to 776 of the family's 1533-position model. The record is from RNAcentral.
GACGUAGGGCGCGAGCGUUGUCCGGAUUUAUUGGGCGUAAAGAGCUCGUAGGCGGUUUGUCGCGUCGGCUGUGAAAACCUGGGGCUCAACCCCGGGCCUGUAGCCGAUACGGGCAAACUAGAAUUCGGUAGGGGAGACUGGAAUUCCUGGUGUAGCGGUGAAAUGCGCAGAUAUCAGGAGGAACACCGGUGGCGAAGGCGGGUCUCUGGGCCGAUAUUGACGCUGAGGUGCGAAAGCGUGGGGGAGCAAACAGG